GAAGGAGAAACAUAUAAAAAAUUUAGUUACAUGUAUAUUGACUCGAUCACGCCACUCUGGGUGUAACUCUUUGGGAAACCCUUUUUCAGAUCUAAAAUUCAUCGAAGAACAACUUCAAGUUAUAGAACGAAAAUUACCCUCACGUUUUUGCAGAUUCAGAUUUCCUAUAUCGUUCUAUAAAGGUCUCCUUGUACAAAAGUUGAAAGGCAAUAAUUUCUCGAACAAGAAAUAUUCAAGUCGUCACUUGUGGACAAACUCCUAUCUGUGUUAUUAUGAAUUGAAAAUUGUUCAAAGGGUCUACGGAAAAAAAUAAAAAGUUUAUGGAAAACAUAUGUGUAAUAAAGUUAUAAAUUGUAAUAGCUUUUAACUGAUGUGUGCGGUUGGAAAAAAGAAUAAAAACAUCUCAAUUUUU
This is a long non-coding RNA of Leptopilina boulardi, 412 nucleotides long. RefSeq lists it as uncharacterized. The record is from RefSeq and is a predicted model, not a curated record. NCBI's taxonomy places the organism in Eukaryota, Metazoa, Arthropoda, Insecta, Hymenoptera, Figitidae. The transcript has 2 exons.